Non-coding RNA from Salvia hispanica, 203 nucleotides. The record is from RefSeq and is a predicted model, not a curated record. Lineage: Eukaryota; Viridiplantae; Streptophyta; Magnoliopsida; Lamiales; Lamiaceae.
CGGCGUCUCUUCCAUCCUUUGGAACAAGCCGAAUGACAAACAAGGGAGUGGAUCUCAUGUUGCAGAUGAAGUAAGGUUCCAAUCUGAAAACCCAUAGAAUAGUGUCAAUAAAAGUUGUUUCUUGGGUCUAUUAGUAAAGCCAAUUGUGGUGCCAUGGAUGAUAUGAGUGAAAAGGAGCCUCUUGACUCUAAUUUAACGUUAAA